CUUCCACAAAAUAGUUCUUAAAAUGUCUAGUCUGCUUUCAUAAAAAAAACAUGCGCCCUACAGAUCAGGUGCAUCAAAAUACUCACUUCCCUGAAAGUUCUGCAAUAGAAACAUUUAUAGAGAGAAAGCUUACUUCGAGGAACACUGUUGUGAAGAAGGUGGUAGCAGAGAUACACUGUCAUGAUGCUAGCAACCAGAGGUUAAUCCUUGCUUUCAGUUAUUCAAAGAUCGCUGAGAAAUGCUAAACCAUCAGCACUUCUGUGCUAAUACACAAUGUGAAUUAAAUUUUGGCUUGUCAACUCCCUAGCCAUAAAACAAAGUUUAAUGGAAUCACGUGCUUCUCCAUAGCCAUUCAUGACACCGCUCCUAAGUACCAUAAAUAAUCUUGGAAGUUGAAAACUUAUUCAAUAAUGGCGGUUACAUUGAUGUCACCACAGAAUUUAGGCAACACUUUUCUGCUUUUUAGCAGCCUACGCGCUAAUCUAAACAUAGCAAGAAAAGCUAAGACUGCAAAGGGUUAUGUGCAGGCAAUUGUUCAACAUAAUGCUCAAAUAAGCAAACUGGCAAGCAGCGAAAGAUCCGAAGUCACGUGUCUGGACAUCAAUAUUAACUCUCCUUUGAAUGACCUUUGGAGUAAAGGAUGCGGAAGGAAGACAAGGAUUGAGUACGAACGUUGUACAACAGCGCCUUCUCCUGGAACAAAUACGCACAGCAGUAAACACACACGCAAUAUUUUAUAUCGAUGCAUUAUAUGAUAUAUUAUAUAUUAGGCCUAUGUUAAUAAAAGUCUGAAAACACCGUUUCUAUACUUGGGAUAAAUACGUGGAAUUCAGUAAAGGAAAAAAAACCAAACAUUAUUUGAAAAGACUGUUAUUUUGUAUUUCAGCAAUGAUCAUUUUAAUCUAUUUUUAUUAUGUCAGUUUGUUGUUCCACCUCACCUUAUACAAACGUUUCUUACUGAAUUCCGUAUAGCCGAGUUAUUGAACAUAACCUGAACAUAACACAAUUAUGUUCUUCUCGGGGAAAAUACAUCAACAUUUCUAUUUUCAUAAAACAGAACUUUUUUUUCUGAUUAAAUCAUCUAUCUGGCAUUGUGUUUAUGUUAUUGUCAUUAAAUCGAACACUGUUUUUUAUAUUUACUUAGCUCUUUUACUUAUUUCUUAUUUCAUUAAAAUUUUAUUUCAUUAAAAAUAAUUCCCUUCCCCCUACUCAGUUUACAGUUGUAUAUUCAUAUCUAAAUACUGUUGUGUGGGUACGAGAAUGGGCUGGUUUGUUCCUUGUUAGCUGUAAUGCAAAAACACUUAUAGUUGUUAUUCUUAAUAAAGCG
This 1327-nucleotide long non-coding RNA is filed under the name Lepisosteus oculatus (spotted gar). RNAcentral describes it as "lncRNA (ENSLOCG00000021254.1)". The record is from RNAcentral. Lineage: Eukaryota; Metazoa; Chordata; Actinopteri; Semionotiformes; Lepisosteidae.